RNAcentral lists this ribosomal RNA (433 nucleotides) under uncultured bacterium. RNAcentral describes it as "partial 16S ribosomal RNA". It matches the Rfam family "Bacterial small subunit ribosomal RNA", at positions 29 to 507 of the family's 1533-position model. The record is from RNAcentral.
AAUGAACGCUGGCGGCAUGCCUAACACAUGCAAGUCGAACGCGACCUUCGGGACUAUAUGUACCCAGUUGCGGAAUGCGUCGUAACCUGUCCUUAGGUUCGUAAUGACUCCCCGCAAGGGUUCCUAAUACCGGAUAAUGUCCGCCAACCAAAGAAUUAUAGCGUUUGGAUGGGCCCGCGUUGAUUUAGCUGCUUGGUAGGGUAUAGGCCUACCAAUGAGAGCUUCCAUGGCUGGUCGGAGAGUGUGAGUAGCCACACUGGGACUGAGACAAGGCCCAAACUUCUACGGGAGGCAGCAGUAGGAAAUAUUGGAAAAUGGGCGAAAGCCUGAUCAAGCAAUGCCGCGUGAGUAAUGAAGGCCUUAGGGUUGUAAAGCUCUUUUACGAGGGAUGAUAAUGACAUUACCGGGAGAAUAAGCUCCGGCUAACUCCGUG